GUAGGGGCCAAGCGUUAUCCGGAUUUAUUGGGGCGUAAAGAGCUCGUAGGCGGCUUGGCAAGUCGGUCGUGAAAGUCCGAGGCUCAACCUCGGGAAUGCCGGGUCGAAACUGCCAUGGCUAGGGUUCGGUAGAGGAGAGUGGAAUUCUCGGUGUAGCGGUGAGAUGCGCAGAUAUCGAGAGGAACACCAGUAGCGAAGGCGGCUCUCUGGGCCGAUACCGACGCUGAGGAGCGAAAGCGUGGGGAGCAAACAGGAUUAGAUACCCUGGUAGUCCACGCCGUAAACGGUGAUCACUAGGUGUGGCGGACUCAUUGACGUCUGCUGUGCCGGCGCUAACGCAUUAAGUGAUCCGCCUGGGGAGUACGGCCGCAAAGGCUA
This 378-nucleotide ribosomal RNA is filed under the name uncultured organism. RNAcentral's name for it is "partial 16S ribosomal RNA". It matches the Rfam family "Bacterial small subunit ribosomal RNA", at positions 527 to 896 of the family's 1533-position model. The record is from RNAcentral.